Molecule: long non-coding RNA, 2015 nt
Organism: Equus caballus (horse)
Lineage: Eukaryota; Metazoa; Chordata; Mammalia; Perissodactyla; Equidae
Source: Ensembl
UUGUGAGCACUGGGGACAGAGCAGAGAAGCCAAUGGACAGAGUCCCAGUCCUCUCACUUUGACUAUGUUGACUGGUGUGUGGUACCCAUGGUAUUGUAGCUAGCCAUGGUAGUUAGUGCUUUUCACCGUGUUUCCUAUGGAGUGCUUCCAAUAUAUUUGGAGGGAGGAAGCAGUCCAACUCUGGCCGGCUCUUCGAGUCUGGGAGCGUGCAGGAGGGCCCUUGCCUCAUGCGUACCACACUACAUGCACUCGGAGCAUGUGUCUCCUCUCUGUUUCCUGAACCCUGUUCUGUGGGAGCCCAUUGGUGAGGCUGAGUGUGGUGAAGCCAGAACAUGACCCGAGCAGAAUAUGCCAAGGGUAUUCACUGCUGGACCUCUGUUUUUAGACAGCUCAAUGGCAAACUCAAUGUGGUCCUGAUGAUGUACUCAUUUCUGGUUUAGGUCAACACCCCAGUUCAUUGGGCAUGGUAUUAUCAAAGCCAAGUUGCAAAGUCUGAUUCCCCACCAAGAUCAGCCAAUUUUAGGAAUGUCUAAGAACUAUACCCAUGAGUGGCCACCCCCUUGCUAGUCUGUACUUAUAACAGAAAGAUAGGCAAGACUCUGCUGAUGGGCAACUCUAACUCUUGCUGGAAAAUCAGUUCCAGGUGGGCACCUCACAGAAGGCAACACUCAACUUGCUAUUUGCAUGCCUAGAGUAUAUUUCUAAUCAUCCCAGUGUCACAGUAGUCGACUCUAAGCCACUUCUGAACUGUCCCUAUUUAUGACAGAGCUGAACAAUCAUGGGGAACAAGGAAAGACCAAAUGGAAUCUCGAUUGUAAGAGAAUUUUAAUAACCUAUUGUAGUCAUUUCUACUUAUGACAUUAUAGCAGCUUUAGAGCUGUGAACAAAUACCAAGAUGGAUUGAGUCAAUUCUUUCCCUGUUCUAUGAUUCCCUUCAUAGAAACAUAACUGGAUAUUUGUGAUUUAGCGGUAUCAUUUAAAAACCUUUUUUGUAUAAAUCUAUUGAAUUUUCAGAAUUCCAAACAAAUUUUCGUUGCUGCACCUACUUUAAAAGUCAGAUUUAUAAGAAGAAGCAUGUGGUAGGAGCUUGUUACUGUGUGACCAUAAUCGUGGAUGGUGGGUUAAGCUUAACAAACAUUAAUAAAGGAUGCCAAAUUUGGUAAGGGUGAAAGAAGGCAAAAAAUAGUGAAGUCACCCCUACACUACUUUUAAAUUAAAAGAGACAGGCGAAAGAAGGAUGAGGAAGUGAACGGAGCUUUUUGUCACUCAUUGAGCAUUUUUUGAUUCAUUGAAUGACAAAUGUUGGCUUACUGACUACGGUCAACCUCUCUAUCUAUUUUCAAAUGUUUCAUACGAAUUUUCUUUUGUAAACUUUGCUUUCAUUAGGACAAUGGUGAAGAAGUCAUCAAAAACAGGAUGUUUGUUCUGGUAAACGUUCUGUAUAUCUAAGUGUGUGUUUAGAAUUUUUAUUAUUAUUAUUCUGGGAUAACGUUCAGGAAUGAAGAAGGAGAAGGUAGUGUGUGAUGAAAAAGGAAAGUAUAUCUAACAUUUGGGGCUUUUAACACCCAAACUAACGCCCUUAAAUUUGGACUUCGUGAAGUGUUUUUCAGUUUCUCAAUCUAUUAUGCCUAUUAUGGUUCCUGGGCAAUCACGGUGAAGGAAAUUGAUCAUGUACCUUCAGAGUUACGCUGUGUGUGGAUAAUGCUAGAAGUUUCCCUACCUUUAAGACACAUGCGACCACAAGAACAGAUUCACAGUCCAGGUUCACUUUGUCCCCAGCAUUUAAUGUCUCCUUUAGGCUCUGCAUAAUUUCAUAUUGGCCGAUUUUCUGAAUAUGCCCUCUGUGAGCGGCCCAUUUUUGCUUGAGAAAGCAAAGCAUAUCCUAUAGGGAAGAAGAGAAAGGAAAAAUCAAUGGCACCUCGUAUCCAGGAGCCCAGAGCACCAGCUCCCCCAUUGUCGGAGCUGGGGUAAGCGAGGUGCAGUGCUGGGGGGCGGGGGGCAUGCAAGCAAACGUA